This 27-nucleotide non-coding RNA is filed under the name Rattus norvegicus (Norway rat). Lineage: Eukaryota; Metazoa; Chordata; Mammalia; Rodentia; Muridae. The record is from RNAcentral.
UGGUGUAAUGUACAAGGUCAAUGUUGU